RNAcentral lists this ribosomal RNA (253 nucleotides) under uncultured bacterium. Its description in RNAcentral is "partial 16S ribosomal RNA". It matches the Rfam family "Bacterial small subunit ribosomal RNA", at positions 524 to 776 of the family's 1533-position model. The record is from RNAcentral.
UACGGAGGGUGCAAGCGUUAUCCGGAUUCACUGGGUUUAAAGGGUGUGUAGGCGGGUAUUUAAGUCAGUGGUGAAAUCUCCAGGCUCAACCUGGAAACUGCCAUUGAUACUAUUUAUCUUGAAUAUCGUUGAGGUUGGCGGAAUAUAUCAUGUAGCGGUGAAAUGCAUAGAUAUGAUAUAGAACACCGAUUGCGAAGGCAGCUAACUAAGCGAUGAUUGACGCUGAGGCACGAAAGCGUGGGGAUCAAACAGG